GGGGGUCGGAGUUCAGUCUUCCCGGGCCCACCAUUUGCAUAUGCGAAUGAGGGUUUGGGUUGAGACUGUUGGUUGAUGCGAAUUGUUGCCGCGCCUGGUUGAUGAGACUUGGGUGAUCGAGCUGGAUGGGGCUGUAGCUCAGCUGGGAGAGCACCUGCUUUGCAAGCAGGGGGUCAGCGGUUCGAUCCCGCUCAGCUCCACCAUUUAAUUGCGCUCACGGGUGAGCGGUCCUUCGGACCUACCCUCCGCGAGGGCGCCGAACGAUCGGCGACGCGCUACCGCGCUGUGCUGGAGAAUUGAUCCGGCGGCUGCGAAUUGUCUUCUUUGAGGAAAUAAAAGUUUGCAUCGUCUGAGAGGACUGAUGCCUGUUCUGAAUACAUUGUGAAGAGAAGAUAUGUCUGGAAGCUUCCAGGUGUUUUGAGCCCUUGUGGUUUGAAACGUCCGAGCCCAGUCCCAGAGAAACCAUGUGAUGGCUUAGUCGGCCGGAAUUGGUGGAGGGGUUGGAGGUAGGUAGGAAAGCUUGUCCGAGGCAUUUUUGUUGUUUGAAGGUUUAGGCCUUCAUCUGACGGGAAUGCUGGAUUGAUGUUGCCUGACCGCGCAUCACCGGAUGAUAUCUCGAGAAGCUGGUCUUAAUGGUAUGGCUUCGAGGUGCACCNGCGUGCCCUCAAUGAAGACCGUACCGACACGUC
This 689-nucleotide transfer RNA is filed under the name Agrobacterium sp. LCM 3742. Its description in RNAcentral is "partial 16S-23S ribosomal RNA intergenic spacer". The stretch from base 128 to 200 matches the Rfam family "tRNA". Lineage: Bacteria; Pseudomonadati; Pseudomonadota; Alphaproteobacteria; Hyphomicrobiales; Rhizobiaceae. The record is from RNAcentral.